UAAUUGAAUAGAAUUACCGUAGACAGUAGGGGCCUUUGGCUUAAUGAUCCUACCGAGGUUUUGGAUAUAUAUAUUAUUUAUUUUCAUGCCUUAGUUACACCCUUCUGUCCACAUUUUAGUGGGUAAAAGGGUUUUUCU
Molecule: small RNA, 138 nt
Filed under: uncultured Turicibacter sp.
Lineage: Bacteria; Bacillati; Bacillota; Erysipelotrichia; Erysipelotrichales; Turicibacteraceae
Description: Ribosomal protein L10 leader
Rfam family: Ribosomal protein L10 leader
About the family: This family is a putative r-protein leader autoregulatory structure found in B. subtilis and other low-GC Gram-positive bacteria. It is located in the 5' untranslated regions of mRNAs encoding ribosomal proteins L10 and L12 (rplJ-rplL). A Rho-independent transcription terminator structure that is probably involved in regulation is included at the 3' end.
Source: RNAcentral